This 433-nucleotide ribosomal RNA is filed under the name uncultured bacterium. Its description in RNAcentral is "partial 16S ribosomal RNA". It matches the Rfam family "Bacterial small subunit ribosomal RNA", at positions 29 to 507 of the family's 1533-position model. The record is from RNAcentral.
AGCGAACGCUGGCGGCAGGCCUAACACAUGCAAGUCGAACGGAUCCUUCGGGAUUAGUGGCGGACGGGUGAGUAACACGUGGGAACGUGCCCUUUGGUUCGGAACAACUCAGGGAAACUUGAGCUAAUACCGGAUGUGCCCUUCGGGGGAAAGAUUUAUCGCCAUUGGAGCGGCCCGCGUCUGAUUAGCUAGUUGGUGAGGUAACGGCCCACCAAGGCGACGAUCAGUAGCUGGUCUGAGAGGAUGAUCAGCCACACUGGGACUGAGACACGGCCCAGACUCCUACGGGAGGCAGCAGUGGGGAAUCUUGCGCAAUGGGCGAAAGCCUGACGUAGCCAUGCCGCGUGAAUGAUGAAGGUCUUAGGAUUGUAAAAUUCUUUCAGCGGGGACGAUAAUGACGGUACCCGCAGAAGAAGCUCCGGCUAACUUCGUG